Molecule: long non-coding RNA, 642 nt
Filed under: Homo sapiens (human)
Lineage: Eukaryota; Metazoa; Chordata; Mammalia; Primates; Hominidae
Description: HSALNT0278290
Source: RNAcentral
CAGGAUGGUCUCGAUCUCCUGACCUUGUGAUCUGCCCGCCUUGGGCAGAUCCCAAAGUGCUGGGAUUACAGGCGUGAGCCACCGUGCCCAGCCCCUUAUUUUUUAUUUUUUGUAGAGACAGUCUCACCAUUUUUCUCAGGCUGGUCUUGAACUCCUGCACUCAAGCAAUCCUCCCAUCUCAGCCUCCCAGAGUGCUGGGAUUACAGAAAGAACCAAAGGGCUGUGGGUUCCCACCCACAGCAGCCAACAUAGGAGCUCAGGUGUCCAGGUGGCAGGAUGAGAGAGGACCAAUUUGGCUUAGAGCCCCAGAACCAAGAAAGAGCCCUGAGCUGGCCUAGUGCUGGAGUCAGAAACAGAGCCAGCCCUGGAGAAGGUGAGGAUGGGAAAUGGAGAGGCAGUGAGUGUUCACAGAAGGAGCUUAUCUGGUGAACAAGCCAUGGUCCCCGCCCUUGAAGAGGCUGCCAUGCCCAGGGAUGCCAGGCAAGGAAGUAGGCAGGGCUCCACCAAGCUAAGCAUUAGGGGUAGAAAGGCGGGAGGCUAGACCUGAGCUGGGGCUGUUCCUACAGAAGGCCCAAAGGUGAGAAAGUGUGGCAUCUUUCUGAAAAUCCAACAUGGGGCUCCUAGGCUGUAUGUAGCAGGGAG